GGAGGAUCUGCUGGGCUGUCUCCUAACAAAGGAAAAACAGCAUGGAGGAACAGGGAGCUUCUUUUAUAGGAGUGGGGUGGAGUUAACCUGAGCUGGGGUGGAGUUGAGUGAGGUAGCAUUAAGAGAUUGGGGAGCCUGUGACAUCACUAGGAGGGUCUUGUGACAUCACUGGUUACCUGGAGGUAGCAAGUAUCAGGUUACUCUUUUGGCAUGAAGAGAGGCAUGAUAGGAAGAAGGCUGUCCCUUGGUAGGAGAAGCCAUAUUUAACAUCUAGACUUAUUCCAUGUGGCAGCCAUUUUAAAGCACAGAGAAUUAUGGGAAUGAAGCUACUGUUUUACGUAGCAGCCAUCUUGAGGCAAGGGAAUCUAACACCACCUUCCUUUGAGAAGUCAGGCAGCACUAGGUAGGGUAGGCAUCUACACUGAGCGUGAGAGUGGAUAUCUUUUUAUGCCCAAAAGCAACUCCUGAGUUCUGAGGAACUAGGGUAAUUAUGAGACUAUGGACAGUUUUGUUAGAGGUUACAUUGGAGUUGCAAAAUGUCUUCCUGGUUCCUUUCAGAAAGUCUUUAAUCAUGCCAUCAGUGGGGCGACCAAGUAUUCCAUGUGAUGGCUCUGGAGAGAGACAGCUCUGCAUCCACAUGAAAGUGCACAGCGUAGAGCUGGAAGACGUUGCUGUGCUCUGGGGGGCUGCUUCAGGUCUGACACCUAACAGGUGAUUAUAAUGCUUUAUGCCCUGAGGUCUUUGUCUCUUCCUUGAACAACAACUGGUGCAGCAGCUACUUGAAAUCUAUUCUGUCCUUCUGGCCUGCCAAUGUCUAACUGCCUAACACAAAGGCAGAUUCUCCCUCUGACCUCUUCCUUUGUUUUGUUUUCACCUCUGCUACUUAAAAUCUGGAUUUUCUGUUCAAGGCCCUGGAGGUCCUCUUGACUAGUAAGGAGGUCACCGGCCAUGGCACAGGCUGGCAACAAUAUCUUACUGGCACUGUGGGGCCGAGCCUUCAUGAUGUGGCUUUACCAGCUAAGUCCAGAUUUUACAUGAGAGAAAAAUAAAGUUGUCUAGCUUAUGGCACAGAUAUUUUGGCUUAGAGUCAUGUCUAAUCUUAACAAUAUGAGAAUAUUGCUUAAGGUCAUGCAGCUGGUAAGUGGCAGGAAGGCCCUAGUCCAAACCCCAGUUUGUCUGAUUUGAAAAGGCCCAGUUCUAUUGCCGUAGUGUUAUACUGACCUGGGAGUAAAGAAAGACUCUUCACAAUAUUAGGUAUUUCAAGCAGGUCCACUUGAUCUUGGAAUACAGUCGCUAUUUUGUUUCCAGUUACUCUGUCCUCCUAAUUACAUUUGACUCUGGCUGAUAUUAAAUUGGGAUCUAUACUCCAAGCACGUGCAUGUGGGUUUUGGCAGGAGGAAGGGUCCCCAGAAGGCCUGUCUGACCUUCAAUUCUUGUUAGAUGCCUGGAC
RNAcentral lists this long non-coding RNA (1450 nucleotides) under Fukomys damarensis (Damara mole-rat). RNAcentral's name for it is "lncRNA (ENSFDAG00000032670.1)". The record is from RNAcentral. Lineage: Eukaryota; Metazoa; Chordata; Mammalia; Rodentia; Bathyergidae.